GUAUACUGAAUGUAUCCUGA
This 20-nucleotide microRNA is filed under the name Drosophila grimshawi. Its description in RNAcentral is "miR-iab-4-5p-RA". Lineage: Eukaryota; Metazoa; Arthropoda; Insecta; Diptera; Drosophilidae. The record is from RNAcentral. RNAcentral also lists the same sequence under 2 other names.